Molecule: long non-coding RNA, 564 nt
Filed under: Rosa chinensis
Lineage: Eukaryota; Viridiplantae; Streptophyta; Magnoliopsida; Rosales; Rosaceae
Description: sRNA RchiOBHm_Chr1g0330641
Source: RNAcentral
CAAUAUGAUAAUGCGAUUGCAAUCACCGCGAUCUGAGUCGCCGUUUCCAAUUCAUCGGGGUUUGAUUGGACUCGGGCUUUACGACAGCGCGGCGGCGGAGAGGCGACCUAGGUUGGUGUUUGAGUUUCUGGAAUUAUGUUGAUGGCGGAGAAGAGUUCUAAUUAGAGUGCCGCCGGUGGAUUUGCCGCCGAGGAUUUCGACGGCGAGGACAUGUCGAUCGAUCUUGAUACAUUCUAUUGCCUUCUCGAGGAAGAUCCCCUGGAUAUAAAAAGAUAAGACACAUGGCGGGGUAAAAGAAAACAUGGGGAAGAAAGUGAAGAAGAAGCAGAAAUUCCAGCAAGGAAGAAAAAUGAUAUGCAAAAGAGUAAUAAGGACAGAUGAAAUUUUUAGAAAUAUGUUUAGGGCUUAGAAUGCAAUUGACUAGCUAGUGACCUGCCCAAUUGUAAACUCCAGCUUACUAAAUCAAUUAGUUUUUUGUAUCUUUUUAUGGUGUCACUAUUAUGUUAGUUUUUCUUAAUGAAACAUUAUUGUUAUAGAUCUUUUGCAGCAAUUCAAGUUUUAGAC